CAGAAGAAAAACUGCCAUGCAGAUGGGAUUUUUUCAUGCUGUUGUAUAGCGGACCAUACUUCUGGCCUGAAAACUGUAUAUCCAAGUCACAUUAUGGUUGGAUGGCUGCUCUUUGUUUCUGGACUACAGAUGAGUUUAGAAAUGCGUGGCAUCACGAGAACCAGCUGAACUGUGUUUCCAGGACUGAGCUCAUAUCAGUAUGCUAAGCUAAGCUAGCGCCGAAGCUAACGCUACUGCGUUUGAUCUGAUGAUUAGGCUGAGCGGAGCCAGGCUGUUGACGCCUGUGGAUCAUCACUCACUCACCUGCGUUCAGGAGGGCGAGGAAGAGAGAUUCUUCAUGCACACAGCUGCUGUUUAACCCAUGGGCAGGAGAGUUACCUUCAGACUGGCGCUCUUGUGCGAAAUACUGAUCCUCUCUGAAAAUCUGUUUCCCCUGUGUCGGGGAGCGCGAACUGCAGCCAGAGAGGCGGAUCCCACAAUUUUCACGGCCCAUUUGUUCGAUUCCUUGGUAAAACAACUUGCAUAAUCAUGCCAAGGUUGUAACAUUCAGUUGAAUCGGCAACUGCUGUUAAAAACAAUAACACAUUUGUAAAAAUAAAUAUGUGCAGAGGUCUUCCUA
Molecule: long non-coding RNA, 619 nt
Organism: Poecilia reticulata (guppy)
Lineage: Eukaryota; Metazoa; Chordata; Actinopteri; Cyprinodontiformes; Poeciliidae
Source: RefSeq, a predicted model, not a curated record